UGGGCGAAGAAGGCCUUCGGGUCGUAAAGCCCUUUUCUGGGUGACGAGGAAGGACGGUAGCCCAGGAAGAAGUCUCGGCUAACUACGUGCCAGCAGCCGCGGUAAAACGUAGGAGGCAAGCGUUAUCCGGAGUUACUGGGCGUAAAGCGCGCGCAGGCGGUUAGGCAAGUUGGGUGUGAAAGCUCCCGGCUAAACCGGGAGAGUGCAUUCAAGACUGCCUGGCUAGAGGACGGUAGAGGGGCGCAGAAUUCGAGGUGUAGCGGUGAAAUGUGUAGAGAUCCCGAGGAAUACCAGUGGGGAAGCCGGCGCCCUGGGCCGAACCUGACGCUGAGGCGCGACAGCGUGGGGAGCGAACGGGAUUAGAGACCCCGGUAGUCCACGCCGUAAACGA
This 391-nucleotide ribosomal RNA is filed under the name uncultured bacterium. RNAcentral describes it as "bacterial SSU rRNA". It matches the Rfam family "Bacterial small subunit ribosomal RNA", at positions 402 to 809 of the family's 1533-position model. The record is from RNAcentral.